Molecule: ribosomal RNA, 857 nt
Filed under: uncultured bacterium
Lineage: Bacteria
Description: bacterial SSU rRNA
Rfam family: Bacterial small subunit ribosomal RNA
Source: RNAcentral
AGAGUUUGAUCCUGGCUCAGGACGAACGCUGGCGGCGCGCUUAACACAUGCAAGUCGAGCGAUAACCAUGGCUUCGGCCAUGGGGAGAGCGGCGAACGGGUGAGUAACACGUGAGCGAUCUGCCCUCGACACUGGGAUAGCCCGGGGAAACCCGGAUUAAUACCGGAUAGCCUCUCGGGCCUACGGGUCCGUGAGAAAAGAUGGCUUCGGCUUUCGGUUGAGGAGGAGCUUGCGGCGGAUUAGCUUGUUGGUGAGGUAACGGCUCACCAAGGCGACGAUCCGUAGCUGGUCUGAGAGGACGAUCAGCCACACUGGGACUGAGACACGGCCCAGACUCCUACGGGAGGCAGCAGUGGGGAAUCUUGCGCAAUGGGCGAAAGCCUGACGCAGCGACGCCGCGUGAGGGAAGAAGGCCUUCGGGUUGUAAACCUCUUUCAGGAGGGACGAAGCUACUCGGGUUAAUAGCCCAGAGGGUGACGGUACCUCCAGAAUAAGCACCGGCUAACUACGUGCCAGCAGCCGCGGUAAUACGUAGGGUGCAAGCGUUAAUCGGAAUUACUGGGCGUAAAGCGUGCGCAGGCGGUUAUGUAAGACAGGUGUGAAAUCCCCGGGCUUUAACCUGGGAACUGCAUUUGUGACUGCAUAGCUAGAGUACGGUAGAGGGGGAUGGAAUUCCGCGUGUAGCAGUGAAAUGCGUAGAUAUGCGGAGGAACACCGAUGGCGAAGCAAUCCCCUGGACCUGUACUGACGCUCAUGCACGAAAGCGCGGGAGCAACAUGAUUAGAUACCCUGGUAAUCCACGCCCUAAACGAUGUCAACUGUUUGUGGGGUCUCACUGACUCAGUACCGAAGCUAAC